This is a long non-coding RNA of Terrapene triunguis (Three-toed box turtle), 2217 nucleotides long. NCBI's taxonomy places the organism in Eukaryota, Metazoa, Chordata, Testudines, Emydidae. The record is from Ensembl.
GACAUGGAUCAGCCACCCCUGUCUGCCCUCCUACCGCUUCUCACCCCUCGGGGAAGGGGGCAGCAGCCGGCUCCCCGGGGGGAUGCACCGAGAGGCCGGAGGCAUCGGCACCAUGGGGAUUGAAUUGCAGCUUGGCGAGAUUGGGGGCUGAUGCCGCUUGGGCAGCGUAAAAGGGGUGGAAAUGCCCCCUACGAGUUGCCUCCCCAUACAGGGCCUCCCAGCCCUGCGUGGAGUGGGCAGAAAGGCCUGCGCCCAGCCCCUGGUGUGGGGGACAGAGUGGGCGCAUGGCCAGCAUGCGGGGUGCUGUGCCCGGUCUCUGCUCCCCCGGGGCCCGGUGGGAAGCAGAGGGGCAGAGCAGCGGUGAGGCUGUGGGGUGGGCAGUGACCCCAUCUUGUCGCAGCCCCAAGGAGCAGCCUGUGGGAUUGCCCCUGGUAGCCGGGCUGGUCGCUCCCAGAGAGCGGGGAGAGCACGCCAGGAUACGCUGCCCAGCCCGGAGCAGGAAGGGGUGGGACCUGCCUUGUUGGUGGCCUCUGCGCACAGGCUCCUCUCCAGACACACGGUUCUCCUGGUGCAGGAUGACAUCUCACUGCCUCUGUCUUGGCCUGACACGACUGGUUCUGCUCUGCUGCCUGCCUCUGGCGCGCCCGGACCCAUGCGGCCUGAGCAUCGUGCCCAAGGACCCGGCGGUGGCGUUCGGGGGUGACGUGGUUCUGAACUGCACCAGCACGUGCUCCAAUCACACCAGCCUGGGCUGGGAGACGUCGGUGCCGAAGGUGAUGGAUCGGGGAGACGGCUGGGUGUCUCUGAACAUCUCCAACCUCAUGGAUUGGAACCUGGAGCCCCUGUGCUACAGCAUCAACCCGCAGAUCAUCGAAAAAGCCAGGCUCCACGUGUACCGAUUCUCACCCCCCGAGAUCCACCUGGGAGCCGAGAUGGUGGCCGGUCACCAGGAGCAAAUCACCUGCAACGUCUCCAGCCUUGUGUCCGGCUCCAGCCCCUCCGACAUCAACGUCACCCUGAGCAGCGGGGACAACAGCACCCUCAACGAGAGCCGCGGCAGCCCGGCCGUGCGGUACAGCUUCGUGGUGCGGCCCACGCAGCACGGGCAGGAGAUCGUGUGCCAGGCCUGGCUCCGCGUGGGCCUCCAGGUGCUGAGUAACAGCGCCAGGGCCACCCUGAAGGUCUGGGCCCCGCCCCAUAGCGUGAAGGUCUCCGUGGAGCGGCUGGAGUUCGGGGUCGGCGCUAACUUCACGGUGCGGUGCAGCGCCGAGGGGAAUCCCCCGCCCGAGCUGCACUGGGAACUGCCCUCCAACACCAGCGUGGAGCUGUCUGACCGCGGCCGGAGGGUGACCGUGCGCUCGGCCCAGCGCGCGCACAACGGGACCUACCGGUGCCUGGCACAGAACAAAUAUGGGGCCAGCUCGGGGCAGGUCGAUGUCCUCGUCGAAGUUCCCCCAAGGUCCCGAAUCGUGAUAGUCGCAGUGGUGCUGGGGGUGAUUGUGUUUCUCGGCGGCGUAGCCCUGGUAGUGUGGUGGCUUGUGAGAAAACGCUUCAUGACGUCUUAGCUGCGGCCCGCGGCAGCCGCAGUCCAGGGCUGUCCCCGCCCGCCCGCAGUGGGGAAGGCGACUCGGGGAAGGGGAAAGCACUGGGCAGUGAGGAGCCUGAGCCUUUGGGUGAGGACAAGGAGGAGCCCAGAGGUGUCUGAGCCGGAAGCCCUCACCGCGGGGGACUGGUUCCAGGGGCGGUGGGGUCACGGCCCUUUCCCUGCUGUGCCCCGGCUGGUGGGCUGGGACCGAGCAGAGGAGCCGAGCCGGGCCGCAGCUCUCCAGGAUGUCUAGCCCUGGUGCCUGUGCGUGUGUGUGUGUGCGUGUGUGCAUGUGCGUGCGUGUGAGUGUGAGCCUGUGUGUGCACGUGGGAGUGUGCAUGUGAGUGUGCGUGUGUGUGCGUGUGUCCGUGUGCAUGUACAAUCCUUUUUCCGGUGCCCUGGGACUGUUCCAUUUACAAUGAGUCCAGUCCAGACGCUCAGGUAACCCCAUGCUCCCGCCCCCCCAGUGGCUUACAUUGGUUCCUCUUGGUUUGUUGGUCUCAAAUAAACUGACUGCCCAGGCACCUUCUGCUCUGUGUGUGAGGCUCGCGACCCCACCCUGGAGCAGCCCCCCGCGGGCGCCCAUGGAGGUGUUAGCCGUUGGCAGGGCAACGCACGGAGCCUGUAUCAGC